Molecule: non-coding RNA, 432 nt
Filed under: Pan troglodytes (chimpanzee)
Lineage: Eukaryota; Metazoa; Chordata; Mammalia; Primates; Hominidae
Source: RNAcentral
CCGACCUCAGAUGAUCCGCCCCCUUCAGCCUCCCAAAGUGCUGGGAUUACAUGGUGAGCCACCGCGCCCAGCCUCUAUGCUUUCUUUCAAAGGGUACAUACAAUGCAUAGGAUUUGGAGAGGUGGGGAAGUGUGGAGAGAGAAGGUGUUUUUAAGAAUUUGGCAUGGAAGGACAAGCACACCUUAAUCCUCUUCCAGGCUCAACCAAAUUCCAUUCUGAAGUGUUUAAAAGCAAAGCUUUGGAAUCAGACACACCAGGACACCAUAUGGAAACUCUUGCACAGUGCUGGGCCCAGAGGACUGCCUCUUCCCAGCUUUGGAAUCAAUUCCCUGGGACUCCUGGGAGACCAGCACCUGAAGGUCAGAUAGCUUAUGAGGAGAUUUGGCCCACAGAGACCAUAAGUGCCCUCAAGCAACAAGAAAGGUGCACCCA